This 424-nucleotide ribosomal RNA is filed under the name uncultured bacterium. RNAcentral's name for it is "bacterial SSU rRNA". It matches the Rfam family "Bacterial small subunit ribosomal RNA", at positions 354 to 776 of the family's 1533-position model. The record is from RNAcentral.
GUGAGGAAUAUUGGUCAAUGGCCGCAGGGCUGAACCAGCCAAGUCGCGUGAGGGAGUGAGGCCCUACGGGUCGUAAACCUCUUUUGCCGGGGAGCAACGGCGCCCACGUGUGGGCGAAUGAGAGUACCCGGAGAAAAAGCAUCGGCUAACUCCGUGCCAGCAGCCGCGGUAAUACGGAGGAUGCGAGCGUUAUCCGGAUUUAUUGGGUUUAAAGGGUGCGCAGGCGGGCUCUCAAGUCAGCGGUAAAAUCGCGGGGCUCAACCCCGCCGAGCCGUUGAAACUGGGGGCCUUGAGUGGGCGAGAGGCAUGCGGAAUGCGUGGUGUAGCGGUGAAAUGCAUAGAUAUCACGCAGAACGCCGAUUGCGAAGGCAGCAUGCCGGCGCCCUACUGACGCUGAGGCACGAAAGCGCGGGUAUCGAACAGG